Molecule: long non-coding RNA, 320 nt
Organism: Bombyx mori (domestic silkworm)
Lineage: Eukaryota; Metazoa; Arthropoda; Insecta; Lepidoptera; Bombycidae
Exons: 3
Source: RefSeq, a predicted model, not a curated record
CCAGGGUUACGCAAGCGGUAAUUGUGGUGGAGGACCUUAGUUGCCAUCUUCCGAAGUGUGGUAGAAUUAUGCAAUAAAUUGCACAAGGAGUUCUUUGACUCAGUAACGCUCGUUCUAGAUGUGAAGGAAACGUAAAUCGUCGAAAGACAUCUCUGAGGAGCAAAGGAAAGCAGCGCGGUCUCUUUGCGGCCACGUGACUGAGCCGCUGUGGGGUUGAUGUUUCUCGGACAAAAUUUACCAACGCUAACAAAAUGAAAAUGAGACCUACGUGAUUUUUCUGAGAAACGCACCGAUCCAAUAAAUGUUGAUCAUUGAUGAUA